Molecule: ribosomal RNA, 251 nt
Filed under: uncultured bacterium
Lineage: Bacteria
Description: partial 16S ribosomal RNA
Rfam family: Bacterial small subunit ribosomal RNA
Source: RNAcentral
CGAAGCAGUGAUGUGGAGCGAAACUCAAAAAAAUAAGUCUCAGUUCGGAUUGAAGGCUGAAAUUCGCCUUCAUGAAGCCGGAAUUGCUAGUAAUGGCAGGUCAGCAUACUGCCGUGAAUACGUUCCCGGGCCUUGUACACACCGCCCGUCACACCAUGAGAGUUGGGAAUACCCGAAGCCUGUGAGCCAACUUAUAGAGGCAGCAGUCGAAGGUAGAAUCAAUGAUUGGGGUGAAGUCGUAACAAGGUACC